Long non-coding RNA from Sphaerodactylus townsendi, 355 nucleotides. RefSeq lists it as uncharacterized. Lineage: Eukaryota; Metazoa; Chordata; Lepidosauria; Squamata; Sphaerodactylidae. The record is from RefSeq and is a predicted model, not a curated record. The transcript has 3 exons.
AGAAGUACCUUGAAGGCAUCUGAAGCGUUCAGGCCCGAAACGAGGCAGAAAACCAUUCCAGCAGUCUUGGUCUCUCCUGUGCUGCCUUCUGUUGCCACGCCAAACAGAUCCCAGCUACUGCAGGAAACCCAGUUGCGAAUGUUCCUUGAGAAGCAUGCCAGCGAAAUGAUGCACCUGCAGCUGUCUCUCCUGGCAGAGGAAAUCAACAUGAUCACUCACUUUUGUGACUCAUCCAAGCUGAAGAAGAGUAUGGAAACGGCAAGCGGUGCAGACUCCAAAAUAGCCAGUGACUGGCAGGACCUCCUGAAGGAGAUGGCUGAAUAUCACCAGCAUGCCGAGCAAGAGCUUAGCCAGC